Molecule: ribosomal RNA, 260 nt
Filed under: Lacticaseibacillus rhamnosus
Lineage: Bacteria; Bacillati; Bacillota; Bacilli; Lactobacillales; Lactobacillaceae
Description: partial 23S ribosomal RNA
Rfam family: Bacterial large subunit ribosomal RNA
Source: RNAcentral
UGUAGCUUGAUAUUGAGUGUUGGUACCGCUUGUACAGGAUAGGUAGGAGCCGUAGAGAUCGGAACGCUAGUUUCGAUGGAGGCAUUGGUGGGAUACUACCCUAGCUGUAUGAACACUCUAACCCGCGCCACUGAUCGUGGCGGGAGACAGUGUCAGGUAGGCAGUUUGACUGGGGCGGUCGCCUCCUAAAAUGUAACGGAGGCGCCCAAAGGUUCCCUCAGAAUGGUUGGAAAUCAUUCGCAGAGUGUAAAGGUAGAAGG